This 211-nucleotide unclassified non-coding RNA is filed under the name Hevea brasiliensis (rubber tree). Lineage: Eukaryota; Viridiplantae; Streptophyta; Magnoliopsida; Malpighiales; Euphorbiaceae. The record is from RNAcentral.
AAAAAAAAAAAAAAAAAAGCUUGAGGAAGCCAUGGCACCCUAAUUUCAAAAAAUUUUGCUCUGGUAUAGUUUAAAUAUUCUUGGAAUGGCUCCCUUCCUUUCAAUCAAAAGUUCUAUCACUUCAAUCAUUUAAUCAUAGAUUAAUUAGCCUAUAGACUUUUUAACAUUUAAUUUAAUUAAAUUAUGAUAUUUUUUUUUACAUAUAAACAUG